AUCAGGCAUGAGGUGGCUGCUACGGAACACUCAGCUGUCAAACGCUGCACUGCUAUUUGUCUUGCAAAUUGCUUAGAGUUUGACACCCCUUCCAAACUGAAAAGGAUAGUCUCCAAGCAGCAUGUAAAACACAUGCCAACAUCGUGCUCAACUCUGACAUAAUUUCUUGGGUCAAACACUAAUGCCAAUACGAUAUGGCCUGAGUGCUGUCUUACUCAGUAGCUCAUGUAGCAUUUAACACAAAGAUCAGGUUCUUGUUGAGACGAAUGUCUUGAAGUUUAUGAUAUCUGAAUAUUUACAUUGCUAUCAUUUGACAGACUUCUCUGCUUGCUGAUAUUACUGACGCUGUUACAUUCCGAGGGACUGAAGGCGAAGCAGAGAAGCUGGGAUGAAGACCCCCAUUAGAGACCUGAAGAUGUGUAGACAAUUGUCUUUCUGUGUUAUCGUAAAUGGAGCUGCACCAUAUGCAGCCCUGAAGGACGAAUCAUUCAAAGAUUAUUUGGAACAUAAACGAACACUGACAACCGCCAAUGACACUAAAAAAGAGCAAUUCAGUGCUGAACUUCAAGUGUCCUGAAGAAACAGUUUUGUGGAAGACUGUAAGAUUCUACACAGUGUAGUUUAUUCCCAGCUGACACAAAAUGAACA
Non-coding RNA from Chiloscyllium plagiosum (whitespotted bambooshark), 648 nucleotides. The record is from RefSeq and is a predicted model, not a curated record. Lineage: Eukaryota; Metazoa; Chordata; Chondrichthyes; Orectolobiformes; Hemiscylliidae.